AGAGUUUGAUCCUGGCUCAGGAUGAACGCUAGCUACAGGCUUAACACAUGCAAGUCGAGGGGCAGCACAGGUAGCAAUACCGGGUGGCGACCGGCGCACGGGUGAGUAACGCGUAUGCAACUUGCCUAUCAGAGGGGGAUAACCCGGCGAAAGUCGGACUAAUACCGCAUGAAGCAGGGGCCCCGCAUGGGGAUAUUUGCUAAAGAUUCAUCGCUGAUAGAUAGGCAUGCGUUCCAUUAGGCAGUUGGCGGGGUAACGGCCCACCAAACCGACGAUGGAUAGGGGUUCUGAGAGGAAGGUCCCCCACAUUGGAACUGAGACACGGUCCAAACUCCUACGGGAGGCAGCAGUGAGGAAUAUUGGUCAAUGGACGAAAGCCUGAACCAGCCAAGUCGCGUGAGGGAUGAAGGUUCUAUGGAUCGUAAACCUCUUUUAUAAGGGAAUAAAGUGCGGGACGUGUCCCGUUUUGUAUGUACCUUAUGAAUAAGGAUCGGCUAACUCCGUGCCAGCAGCCGCGGUAAUACGGAGGAUCCGAGCGUUAUCCGGAUUUAUUGGGUUUAAAGGGUGCGUAGGCGGCCUUUUAAGUCAGCGGUGAAAGUCUGUGGCUCAACCGUAGAAUUGCCGUUGAAACUGGGGGGCUUGAGUAUGUUUGAGGCAGGCGGAAUUCGUGGUGUAGCGGUGAAAUGCUUAGAUAUCACGAAGAACUCCGAUUGCGAAGGCAGCCUGCCAAGCCAUGACUGACGCUGAUGCACGAAAGCGUGGGGAUCAAACAGGAUUAGAUACCCUGGUAGUCCACGCAGUAAACGAUGAUUACUAGCUGUUUGCGAUACACUGUAAGCGGCACAGCGAAAGCGUUAAGUGAUCCACCUGGGGAGUACGCCGGCAACGGUGAAACU
Molecule: ribosomal RNA, 896 nt
Filed under: human gut metagenome
Description: bacterial SSU rRNA
Rfam family: Bacterial small subunit ribosomal RNA
Source: RNAcentral